UUUUAUGGAGAGUUUGAUCCUGGCUCAGGAUGAACGCUGGCGGCGUGCCUAAUACAUGCAAGUCGAGCGAACAGAUGAGGAGCUUGCUCCUCUGACGUUAGCGGCGGACGGGUGAGUAACACGUGGAUAACCUACCUAUAAGACUGGGAUAACUUCGGGAAACCGGAGCUAAUACCGGAUAAUAUAUUGAACCGCAUGGUUCAAUAGUGAAAGACGGUUUUGCUGUCACUUAUAGAUGGAUCCGCGCCGCAUUAGCUAGUUGGUAAGGUAACGGCUUACCAAGGCAACGAUGCGUAGCCGACCUGAGAGGGUGAUCGGCCACACUGGAACUGAGACACGGUCCAGACUCCUACGGGAGGCAGCAGUAGGGAAUCUUCCGCAAUGGGCGAAAGCCUGACGGAGCAACGCCGCGUGAGUGAUGAAGGUCUUCGGAUCGUAAAACUCUGUUAUUAGGGAAGAACAAAUGUGUAAGUAACUAUGCACGUCUUGACGGUACCUAAUCAGAAAGCCACGG
Molecule: ribosomal RNA, 514 nt
Filed under: Listeria monocytogenes
Lineage: Bacteria; Bacillati; Bacillota; Bacilli; Caryophanales; Listeriaceae
Description: bacterial SSU rRNA
Rfam family: Bacterial small subunit ribosomal RNA
Source: RNAcentral